CUUGACUAUAUGUGGAAUGAACUUCAAUCC
Molecule: non-coding RNA, 30 nt
Filed under: Rattus norvegicus (Norway rat)
Lineage: Eukaryota; Metazoa; Chordata; Mammalia; Rodentia; Muridae
Source: RNAcentral